AUUCAGCUGACGAGUCCCAAAUAGGACGAAACGCGCGUCGUGGAU
Non-coding RNA from Schistosoma rodhaini, 45 nucleotides. NCBI's taxonomy places the organism in Eukaryota, Metazoa, Platyhelminthes, Trematoda, Strigeidida, Schistosomatidae. The record is from Rfam.